Molecule: ribosomal RNA, 485 nt
Filed under: uncultured bacterium
Lineage: Bacteria
Description: partial 16S ribosomal RNA
Rfam family: Bacterial small subunit ribosomal RNA
Source: RNAcentral
AUUGAACGCUGGCGGCAUGCUUUACACAUGCAAGUCGAGCGGCAGCGCGGGGGCAACCCUGGCGGCGAGCGGCGAACGGGUGAGUAAUGCAUCGGAACGUAUCCUCGAGUGGGGGAUAACCCAGCGAAAGUUGGGCUAAUACCGCAUGAGCUCUGAGGAGGAAAGCGGGGGACCUGCGAGGGCCUCGCGCUGGAGGAGCGGCCGAUGUCCGAUUAGCUAGUUGGUGGGGUAAAGGCUUACCAAGGCGACGAUCGGUAGCUGGUCUGAGAGGAUGAUCAGCCACACUGGAACUGAGACACGGCCCAGACUCCUACGGGAGGCAGCAGUGGGGAAUUUUGGACAAUGGGGGCAACCCUGAUCCAGCCAUGCCGCGUGAGUGAAGAAGGCCUUCGGGUUGUAAAGCUCUUUAGGACGGAACGAAAUGGGCGGGACUAAUACUCCUGUCUGAUGACGGUACCGUAAGAAGAAGCACCGGCUAACUACGU